This 500-nucleotide ribosomal RNA is filed under the name uncultured bacterium. RNAcentral's name for it is "partial 16S ribosomal RNA". It matches the Rfam family "Bacterial small subunit ribosomal RNA", at positions 30 to 523 of the family's 1533-position model. The record is from RNAcentral.
AUUGAACGCUGGCGGCAGGCUUAACACAUGCAAGUCGAGCGGGGGAAGGUAGCUUGCUACCGGACCUAGCGGCGGACGGGUGAGUAAUGCUUAGGAAUCUGCCUAUUAGUGGGGGACAACAUCUCGAAAGGGAUGCUAAUACCGCAUACGUCCUACGGGAGAAAGCAGGGGAUCUUCGGACCUUGCGCUAAUAGAUGAGCCUAAGUCGGAUUAGCUAGUUGGUGGGGUAAAGGCCUACCAAGGCGACGAGCUGUAGCGGGUCUGAGAGGAUGAUCCGCCACACUGGGACUGAGACACGGCCCAGACUCCUACGGGAGGCAGCAGUGGGGAAUAUUGGACAAUGGGGGAACCCUGAUCCAGCCAUGCCGCGUGUGUGAAGAAGGCCUUAUGGUUGUAAAGCACUUUAAGCGAGGAGGAGGCUACUUUAGUUAAUACCUAGAGAUAGUGGACGUUACUCGCAGAAUAAGCACCGGCUAACUCUGUGCCAGCCGCCGCCGUAA